GACGAACGCUGGCGGCGUGCCUAAUACAUGCAAGUCGUGCGGGAGAAGCUUUCUUCGGAAAGUGGAUCUAGCGGCGAACGGGUGAGUAACACGUGGGCAACCUGCCCGCAAGACUGGGAUAACUCCGGGAAACCGGGGCUAAUACCGGAUAGUCUUUUUCUUCGCAUGAAGGAAAAGGGAAAGAUGGCUUCGGCUAUCACUUGUGGAUGGGCCCGCGGUGCAUUAGCUAGUUGGUAGGGUAACGGCCUACCAAGGCGACGAUGCAUAGCCGACCUGAGAGGGUGACCGGCCACACUGGGACUGAGACACGGCCCAGACUCCUACGGGAGGCAGCAGUAGGGAAUUUUCCGCAAUGGGCGCAAGCCUGACGGAGCAACGCCGCGUGAGUGAGGACGGCCUUCGGGUUGUAAAACUCUGUUCUUUCGAAAGAGUGCCAAGGAGCCGAAUAGGUUCUUUGGUUGGACGGUACGAGAGGAGAAAGCCCCGGCUAACUAC
Molecule: ribosomal RNA, 495 nt
Filed under: uncultured Bacillota bacterium
Lineage: Bacteria; Bacillati; Bacillota
Description: bacterial SSU rRNA
Rfam family: Bacterial small subunit ribosomal RNA
Source: RNAcentral